UUACAUUAAGUGAAGUUGGAGGGUUGCGAGAAUUGGUUACCCGAGCUCUUGGCCCAAUACUUUUGACUUGUCCAAACAUACCAAUUCUCCUCCCACUUCUCUCGAUUGUUUGGAGGCAUUUGCAAACUGCUUUUAGCAUUUCUGGCUGGAGGAUAUCUUGUUAAUAGUAAUGGCCAAAAUCUGCUUCAAGUGGCUGCGUAAAACAUAUUCAGAAGAAAGGAGGACUAUGCAAAGGACGCUCUCCCUAAGACAUUUAGAAUCCUUUCCUUUAGCCUUACAACUUUUAGGAUCCUUUCCUUUAGCCUCCAAGACAUUUAGAAUUUGCUGGUUGUUUUAGCUUUAUUUACGUAUUUACAAUAUUUCUUACUUAUCGUCUUUACAUUCAAUGAUAUUUUGAAACUGAUGGUUAAUACGAUUUACAUUAAAUGAAGUUGGGGUACAUUAGGUGAAGUUCUAGGAUUGACAAGCUGACAGCGAAGGCUUCCUACC
This 489-nucleotide long non-coding RNA is filed under the name Malus domestica (apple). RNAcentral describes it as "long non-coding RNA (MDOM_LNC003487)". The record is from RNAcentral. Lineage: Eukaryota; Viridiplantae; Streptophyta; Magnoliopsida; Rosales; Rosaceae.